RNAcentral lists this ribosomal RNA (386 nucleotides) under uncultured bacterium. RNAcentral describes it as "bacterial SSU rRNA". It matches the Rfam family "Bacterial small subunit ribosomal RNA", at positions 28 to 416 of the family's 1533-position model. The record is from RNAcentral.
GACGAACGCUGGCGGCGUGCUUAACACAUGCAAGUCGAGCGGUAAGGCCCUUCGGGGUACGACGAGCGGCGAACGGGUGAGUAACACGUGGGUGACCUGCCCUCAGCUCUGGGAUAAGCCUGGGAAACCGGGUCUAAUACCGGAUAUGACUCCAUGACGCAUGUUGUGGGGUGGAAAGCCUUGUGCGGCUGAGGAUGGGCCCGCGGCCUAUCAGCUUGUUGGUGGGGUGAUGGCCUACCAAGGCGACGACGGGUAGCCGGCCUGAGAGGGCGACCGGCCACACUGGGACUGAGACACGGCCCAGACUCCUACGGGAGGCAGCAGUGGGGAAUCUUGGACAAUGGGCGCAAGCCUGAUCCAGCCAUGCCGCGUGGGUGAAGAAGGCC